This 253-nucleotide ribosomal RNA is filed under the name uncultured bacterium. Its description in RNAcentral is "partial 16S ribosomal RNA". It matches the Rfam family "Bacterial small subunit ribosomal RNA", at positions 524 to 776 of the family's 1533-position model. The record is from RNAcentral.
UACGUAGGGGGCGAGCGUUGCCCGGAAUUAUUGGGCGUAAAGAGCUCGUAGGCGGUCUGUCACGUCGGCUGUGAAAACCCGGGGCUCAACCCCGGGCCUGCAGUCGAUACGGGCAGACUAGAGUGCGGUAGGGGAGACUGGAAUUCCUGGUGUAGCGGUGAAAUGCGCAGAUAUCAGGAGGAACACCGGUGGCGAAGGCGGGUCUCUGGGCCGUAACUGACGCUGAGGAGCGAAAGCGUGGGGAGCGAACAGG